Molecule: non-coding RNA, 158 nt
Organism: Salvia hispanica
Lineage: Eukaryota; Viridiplantae; Streptophyta; Magnoliopsida; Lamiales; Lamiaceae
Source: RefSeq, a predicted model, not a curated record
CUUGUUUCUACCGUUUGUUUUUGCAAGAAAAGGUGAUAGUUCGCGUUCCCGGUGGGAUAUCAAGAAGAAGUGCAUUUUUGUUGAACUCGAAAGAAAUCGAGGUUGAGCGGCGAUGGGCGGUCGGUGGUGUUGAGAAAAUUGAAUCGAAUAAAAUGGAU